AUAUUCCCCUUUUACCCUCGAUAAAGACAGAUCGUGUCUGGUCGCAGAGCAGCGGAGAGACGCCGGCGCGCCACCGGCGGCGGUCGCCUGGGCUUGCCGUUCUGCCGAUGAGCCCAGGUCUGAAUUCCAGAUGCAAAUCUGGUUGCCGGGCUGAUGCCCCACCGACGGUCGCCGAGGGUGGCCGAGGGUUGCCUAGGGUCUGGGUUAGCUCGUGUGGAUCGACGAAUGCGGGGCUAAAUCGCCUAGGGUCUGGGUUUGCCACGUUCUCUCUCUGCUGUGUCUCCAUUUACUUGCUUCGCGAGGAUGGCGAU
RNAcentral lists this long non-coding RNA (311 nucleotides) under Eucalyptus grandis. Its description in RNAcentral is "long non-coding RNA (EGRA_LNC007083)". Lineage: Eukaryota; Viridiplantae; Streptophyta; Magnoliopsida; Myrtales; Myrtaceae. The record is from RNAcentral.